This 442-nucleotide ribosomal RNA is filed under the name uncultured bacterium. RNAcentral's name for it is "partial 16S ribosomal RNA". It matches the Rfam family "Bacterial small subunit ribosomal RNA", at positions 338 to 795 of the family's 1533-position model. The record is from RNAcentral.
CCUACGGGAGGCAGCAGUGGGGAAUAUUGCACAAUGGGGGGAACCCUGAUGCAGCGACGCCGCGUGAGUGAAGAAGUAUUUCGGUACGUAAAGCUCUAUCAGCAGGGAAGAAACAAGGACGGUACCUGAGAAAGAAGCCCCGGCUAACUACGGGCCAGCAGCCGCGGUAAUACGUAGGGGGCAGGCGUUAUCCGGACUGACUGGGUGUAAAGGGAGCGUUGACGGCAAAGAAAGUCCGGAGUGGAAUGCGGCGGCUCAACUGCCGAACGGCCCUGGAAACUGUAUGGCUUGAGUGCAGGAGGGGUAGGCGGAAUUCCUGGUGUAGCGGUGAAAUGCGUAGAUAUCAGGAGGAACACCGGUGGCGAAGGCGGCUUGCUGGACUGUAACUGACGUUGAGGCUCGAAAGCGUGGGGAGCGAACAGGAUUAGAUACCCCUGUAGUC